UCACCAUUCCCUGCGCGCCUCAUCCUUCAAAAGGCUACAAGCAACACGAACUAAGGGCAAGAUUUAUCGCAGUCGUCCAAAGAUGAUUCUCGAAAUCAGUUUUAUAAAUUCGUAUUUAAACAUUUCACUCAAAGUUUAUGAUAGGCUUUAUUUGCUUUCCUGGCUUUCAGAAAACCACCUACAGCUUUCCCUUCCAAAACCUGACUAAUGACGGGAAACACCAUGUUAGUGUUUCCGCAUUUGACAGCAGUGGGUGUGAACUAUCACCUAGAGAGUGGCAAGAAUUUUAUGCUCGUAUUAUCCCGACCACCGUCCCGAUCACAGUCCCGACGACUGUCCCGACUACGGUCCCGACGACUGUCCCGACCGUGCUGAGUGCCACAGGAAGAGGUAUGUAUUUUUAUAUUUCGUGAAAAAAUGACGUAAAAAUCUGGUGAAAAAAAUUCUUAUGACUUGAAUGACGGAACGAAGUGAGCCACUAACUUGUAAAGGGAAAGUGCAUGCUCCACUUUGAUUUUCUCCGAAGCUUUCGUCUCCACUAUGGAGUUCCCACAGCCUGGUGCCCAAGCUUGCGCGUUUUCUACCCUCUUACUCGUACUGUUGCCAAGGCCAUAUACAGGCAUUUCUCUGUAAGAGCAAGUCAAACUUCA
This is a long non-coding RNA of Orbicella faveolata, 650 nucleotides long. The record is from RefSeq and is a predicted model, not a curated record. NCBI's taxonomy places the organism in Eukaryota, Metazoa, Cnidaria, Anthozoa, Scleractinia, Merulinidae.